RNAcentral lists this long non-coding RNA (746 nucleotides) under Cavia porcellus (domestic guinea pig). Its description in RNAcentral is "lncRNA (ENSCPOG00000031604.1)". Lineage: Eukaryota; Metazoa; Chordata; Mammalia; Rodentia; Caviidae. The record is from RNAcentral.
UGACCAGCAACCCUACGCUGCAGGUCCCAGACUGCAGAGCAGGAGCUGCAAUGGAGUCCAAGUGGGACGCACUGAGUGCACUGGGGGCCAUCACGGCCGCCUGGCUGCUGCUGACGGGGACCUGGGGAGUGGCCCGCGCUGUGUACGUGUACCUGCUGCCCCAGGUCCGGAGGGGCAAUGCUUGGCUCCGGGCACAGGGAGCCUGGGCAGUGGUGACAGGAGCCACCAGCGGCAUUGGCAAGGCCUACGCACACGAGGUGAGUCGGGUGGUGGCUUCCGUGCUGAUUUCCCUGUCACCAGCCCCCUGGGGAGAGCUAAGUGCCCCCUCACCCUCUCAUCCCUCUCAUUAUUGCCCCGAUUCAUUCCUUCAAAUCCUGUUUAUUGACCACCUACUCUGUGCCAGGCAUCUUCCUGGGCCUGGGGAUGCAGCAGUGAGCACAAGAGAGUUUUUGCAAGAGUGAAAGUCCUGCCCUCGUGGAGCUUAUCCUCCAGCCAGGGCAGAGGGACAUAAGCAAGGUCCGGCACAUGGAGUGAGAGGUGGUGGUCAGGGUGAAGGAGACACUCAGGAAAGAGGACGGAUCCCAUCAUUCUCAGGCUUGUGAAGCAGGCCUGAGUCCUCUUUUGUGAGUGGCGUUAGCUGUGCUGUCCUGGCUGCCUCCGUGUGCUGAAGCAGCUCAGAAGGGUGAGCAUUUGGUGAUGGUGACUGGGGGGAAGCCAGGAGUUCCACGGUGGCAGAUCCAGUGAAU